AAGCAGCCGCGGUAAUUCCAGCUCCAAUAGCGUAUAUUAAAGUUGUUGCAGUUAAAAAGCUCGUAGUUGAAUUUCGGGAUCAAUAUGCCGGUCAUGCCUCGGUAUGCACUGGUAUUCUUUGUAUUUUCCUUCCCUUCUGACGUAACUUUGAU
RNAcentral lists this ribosomal RNA (152 nucleotides) under uncultured Glomus. RNAcentral's name for it is "partial 18S ribosomal RNA". It matches the Rfam family "Eukaryotic small subunit ribosomal RNA", at positions 568 to 719 of the family's 1831-position model. The record is from RNAcentral. Lineage: Eukaryota; Fungi; Glomeromycota; Glomeromycetes; Glomerales; Glomeraceae.